Molecule: ribosomal RNA, 253 nt
Filed under: uncultured bacterium
Lineage: Bacteria
Description: partial 16S ribosomal RNA
Rfam family: Bacterial small subunit ribosomal RNA
Source: RNAcentral
UACGUAGGGUGCGAGCGUUGUCCGGAAUUACUGGGCGUAAAGAGCACGUAGGUGGUUUGUCGCGUUGUCCGUGAAAACUCACAACUCAAUUGUGGGCGUGCGGGCGAUACGGGCAGACUGGAGUACUGCAGGGGAGACUGGAAUUCCUGGUGUAGCGGUGGAAUGCGCAGAUAUCAGGAGGAACACCGGUGGCGAAGGCGGGUCUCUGGGCAGUAACUGACGCUGAGGAGCGAAAGCGUGGGGAGCGAACAGG